Molecule: ribosomal RNA, 418 nt
Filed under: uncultured bacterium
Lineage: Bacteria
Description: bacterial SSU rRNA
Rfam family: Bacterial small subunit ribosomal RNA
Source: RNAcentral
GAUGAACGCUAGCGGCAGGCUUAAUACAUGCAAGUCGUGGGGCAGCAGGUUUGUAGCAAUACAGAUGCUGGCGACCGGCAAACGGGUGCGGAACACGUACAGAACCUUCCUUUGAGCGGGGAAUAGCCCAGAGAAAUUUGGAUUAAUACCCCAUAGUAUAAUGAAGUGGCAUCACUUUAUUAUUAAAGAUUUAUCACUCGAAGAUGGCUGUGCGGCUGAUUAGGUAGUUGGCGGGGUAAAGGCCCACCAAGCCUGCGAUCAGUAACUGGUGUGAGAGCACGACCAGUCACACGGGCACUGAGACACGGGCCCGACUCUUACGGGAGGCAGCAGUAAGGAAUAUUGGUCAAUGGAGGCAACUCUGAACCAGCCAUGCCGCGUGGAGGAUGAAGGUCCUCUGGAUUGUAAACUUCUUUUA